Molecule: ribosomal RNA, 1458 nt
Filed under: metagenome
Description: bacterial SSU rRNA
Rfam family: Bacterial small subunit ribosomal RNA
Source: RNAcentral
AGAGUUUGAUCCCGGCUCAGGAUAAACGCUGGCGGCGUGCUUUAUGCAUGCAAGUCGAACGGUCUUCGCAAGAAGAUAGUGGCGAACGGGUGAGUAAUAUGUAAGUAACUUACCUCUAGGUGGGGGACAACCCCUGGAAACGGGGGCUAAUACCGCAUGUAGUAAUGGAAAUAAUAGUCUUUUAUUAAAGCCGUAAGGCGCCUGGAGAGAGGCUUGCAUCUGAUUAGCUAGUUGGUGAGGUAACGGCCCAUCAAGGCGAUGAUCGGUAGCUGGUUUGAGAGGACGACCAGCCACACUGGGACUGAGACACGGCCCAGACUCCUACGGGAGGCAGCAGCAAGGAAUAUUGUACAAUGGGCGAAAGCCUGAUACAGCGACGCCGCGUGAGGGAUGAAGAUUUUCGGAUUGUAAACCUCUUUUCUCAGGGACGAAUGAUGACGGUACCUGAGGAAUAAGUCACGGCUAACUACGUGCCAGCAGCCGCGGUAAUACGUAGGUGGCUAGCGUUAUCCGGAUUUAUUGGGCGUAAAGAGAGCGUAGGUGGUUUGAUAAGUCAGUUGUAAAAUCUCCCGGCUUAACUGGGAGGGAUCAUCUGAUACUAUUAGACUGGAGUGCAGCAGAGGGAGUUGGAAUUCCCGGUGUAGUGGUGAAAUGCGUAGAUAUCGGGAGGAACACCAGUGGCGAAGGCGAGCUCCUGGGCUGCUACUGACACUGAGGCUCGAAAGCGUGGGGAGCGAACAGGAUUAGAUACCCUGGUAGUCCACGCCGUAAACGAUGGAGACUAGGUAUAGGGAGUAUCGACCCUCUCUGUGCCGAAGUAAACGCUUUAAGUCUCCCGCCUGGGGAGUACGGUCGCAAGACUAAAACUCAAAGGAAUUGACGGGGGCCCGCACAAGCAGCGGAGCGUGUGGUUUAAUUCGAUGCAACACGAAGAACCUUACCAAGACUUGACAUGUUGGAUGUAGCGAACCGAAAGGCAAGCGACCUGUUAAAUCAGGAGCCUUCACAGGUGCUGCAUGGCUGUCGUCAGCUCGUGCCAUGAGGUGUUGGGUUAAGUCCCGUAACGAUCGCAACCCUUGUUGCCAGUUAAUUUCUCUGGCGAGACUGCCCUGCAAAACGGGGAGGAAGGUAGGGAUGACGUCAAGUCAGCACGGCCCUUAUGUCUUGGGCUACACACACGCUACAAUGGACGGUACAAUUGGUUGCAAUGGAGCGAUCCGGAGCCAAUCCAUUUAAAACCGUUCUCAGUUCGGAUUGCAGGCUGAAACCCGCCUGCAUGAAGCUGGAGUUGCUAGUAAACGCAAGUCAGCAUUAUUGCGUUGAAUACGUUCUCGGGCCUUGUACACACCGCCCGUCACGUCAUGAAAGUCGGCAACACCUGAAGUCGAUGGGCUAACCCGCAAGGGAAGUAGUCGCCUAGGGUGGGUCCGGUAAUUGGGACGAAGUCGUAACAAGGUA